UGAGGAAUCUUGCGCAAUGGGCGAAAGCCUGACGCAGCAACGCCGCGUGGAGGAUGAAGGUCUUCGGAUCGUAAACUCCUGUCAGAUGGGGCGAAGGUCCACUGCCUAAUACGCAGUGGUCUUGACGGUACCAUCAGAGGAAGCCACGGCUAACUCUGUGCCAGCAGCCGCGGUAAUACAGAGGUGGCGAGCGUUAUUCGGAAUUAUUGGGCGUAAAGGGCGCGUAGGCGGCCAGAUAAGUCCCGGGUGAAAUCCCUCGGCUCAACCGAGGAACUGCCUUGGAAACUGUCUGGCUUUUCGAGGCCGGGAGAGGGUAGUGGAAUUCCCAGUGUAGCGGUGAAAUGCGUAGAUACUGGGAGGAACACCGGUGGCGAAGGCGGCUACCUGGACCGGUUCUGACGCUGAUGCGCGAAAGCGUGGGGAGCAAACAGGAUUAGAUACCACGUAGUCCCUGAGCGGGCUGGCAAGGCGCAU
RNAcentral lists this ribosomal RNA (474 nucleotides) under uncultured bacterium. RNAcentral describes it as "bacterial SSU rRNA". It matches the Rfam family "Bacterial small subunit ribosomal RNA", at positions 355 to 825 of the family's 1533-position model. The record is from RNAcentral.